This is a non-coding RNA of Camelina sativa (false flax), 151 nucleotides long. Lineage: Eukaryota; Viridiplantae; Streptophyta; Magnoliopsida; Brassicales; Brassicaceae. The record is from RefSeq and is a predicted model, not a curated record.
UUGGUCAUCAAAAGCAAUGAACUCUGGAUCGUUGAGUUUUUUGCACCUUGGUGUGGACACUGCAAAAAGCUUGCCCCGGAGUGGAAAAAGGCUGCAAAAAAUUUGAAGGGGAAGGUGAAUUUAGGCCAUGUCAAUUGCGAUGUUGAGCAGG